UCGAGGAUCUUCGGCAAUGGGCGCAAGCCUGACCGAGCGACGCCGCGUGUGCGAUGAAGGCCUUCGGGUUGUAAAGCACUGUCGAGGGGGAGAAAAGCCGAAAGGUCUGAUCUAUCCCUGGAGGAAGCACGGGCUAAGUUCGUGCCAGCAGCCGCGGUAAGACGAACCGUGCGAACGUUGUUCGGAAUCACUGGGCUUAAAGGGCGCGUAGGCGGGCUGCCAAGUCUGGGGUGAAAUCCCACGGCUCAACCGUGGAACUGCCUCGGAUACUGGCGGCCUCGAGGGAGGUAGGGGCAUGCGGAACUGUGGGUGGAGCGGUGAAAUGCGUUGAUAUCCACAGGAACUCCGGUGGCGAAGGCGGCAUGCUGGACCUCUUCUGACGCUGAGGCGCGAAAGCCAGGGGAGCAAACGGGAUUAGAUACCCGGGUAGUCC
RNAcentral lists this ribosomal RNA (433 nucleotides) under uncultured bacterium. RNAcentral describes it as "bacterial SSU rRNA". It matches the Rfam family "Bacterial small subunit ribosomal RNA", at positions 355 to 796 of the family's 1533-position model. The record is from RNAcentral.